RNAcentral lists this ribosomal RNA (253 nucleotides) under uncultured bacterium. Its description in RNAcentral is "partial 16S ribosomal RNA". It matches the Rfam family "Bacterial small subunit ribosomal RNA", at positions 524 to 776 of the family's 1533-position model. The record is from RNAcentral.
GACAGAGGGUGCAAGUGCUAUCCGGAAUCACUGGGCGUAAAGCGUCUGUAGGUGGUCCAAUAAGUCAACUGUUAAAUCUUGGGGCUCAACCUCAAAAUCGCAGUCGAAACUAUUAGACUAGAGUAUAGUAGGGGUAAAGGGAAUUUCCAGUGGAGCGGUGAAAUGCGUAGAUAUUGGAAAGAACACCGAUGGCGAAGGCACUUUACUGGGCUAUUACUAACAAUCAGAGACGAAAGCUAGGGUAGCAAAUGGG